Molecule: ribosomal RNA, 427 nt
Filed under: uncultured archaeon
Lineage: Archaea
Description: bacterial SSU rRNA
Rfam family: Archaeal small subunit ribosomal RNA
Source: RNAcentral
UACCAGCUCUCCGAGUGGUAGGGAUGAUUAUUGGGCUUAAAGCGUCCGUAGCCGGCUUAGCAAGUCUCCUGUUAAAUUCAGCGACCUAAUCGUUGAGCCGCGGGAGAUACUACUAGGCUAGGAGGCGGGAGAGGUCGACGGUACUUCUGGGGUAGGGGUGAAAUCCUAUAAUCCCGGGAGGACCACCAGUGGCGAAGGCUGUCGACUAGAACGCGCUCGACGGUGAGGGACGAAAGCUGGGGGAGCGAACCGGAUUAGAUACCCGGGUAGUCCCAGCUGUAAACGAUGCGGGCUAGGUGUUGGGGUGGCUACGUGCCACUUCAGUGCCGCAGGGAAGCCAUUAAGCCCGCCGCCUGGGGAGUACGGCCGCAAGGCUGAAACUUAAGGAAUUGGCGGGGAGCACCACAAGGCGUGAAGCUUGCGGUUC